Ailuropoda melanoleuca (giant panda) is the source of this 111-nucleotide small nuclear RNA. The record is from Ensembl. NCBI's taxonomy places the organism in Eukaryota, Metazoa, Chordata, Mammalia, Carnivora, Ursidae.
GUGCUUGCUUUGGCAGCGUAUAUGCUAAAAAAAAUUGGAACGAUACAGAGAAGAUUAGCAUGGCCACUGCACACGGAUGAAGCGCAAAUUCAUGAAGUGUUCUGUAUAACA